GACGAACGCUGGCGGCGUGCUUAACACAUGCAAGUCGAACGGAAAGGCCCUGCUUUUGUGGGGUGCUCGAGUGGCGAACGGGUGAGUAACACGUGAGUAACCUGCCCUUGACUUUGGGAUAACUUCAGGAAACUGGGGCUAAUACCGGAUAGGAGCUCCUGCUGCAUGGUGGGGGUUGGAAAGUUUCGGCGGGUGGGGAUGGACUCGCGGCUUAUCAGCUUGUUGGUGGGGUAGUGGCUUACCAAGGCUUUGACGGGUAGCCGGCCUGGGAGGGUGACCGGCCACAUUGGGCCUGAGAUACGGCCCAGACUCCUACGGGAGGCAGCAGUGGGGAAUAUUGCACAAUGGGCGGAAGCCUGAUGCAGCAACGCCGCGUGCGGGAUGACGGCCUUCGGGUUGUAAACCGCUUUCGCCUGUGACGAAGCGUGAGUGACGGUAAUGGGUAAAGAAGCACCGGCUAACUACGUG
Molecule: ribosomal RNA, 468 nt
Filed under: uncultured bacterium
Lineage: Bacteria
Description: partial 16S ribosomal RNA
Rfam family: Bacterial small subunit ribosomal RNA
Source: RNAcentral